Long non-coding RNA from Helianthus annuus (common sunflower), 983 nucleotides. RefSeq lists it as uncharacterized. NCBI's taxonomy places the organism in Eukaryota, Viridiplantae, Streptophyta, Magnoliopsida, Asterales, Asteraceae. The transcript has 6 exons. The record is from RefSeq and is a predicted model, not a curated record.
AUUUCAAGCCUCAAGGUACUUGUUGAAGGCAACCAUGGAUGGCGAAAACAUCGGGUUUUAGGCGAAACAAAUUGCAAGUGAUGAUGGUGAAGUUUUCGCCGGUACAGCCUUGUGUAGGAGCUCCAACAUACGGUUUUAUUGCUUGGCUACUAAGCACUUGUGUCGAUCUUUUGCUAUCCUUCUUGAGGUACAAUUAUUCGUUUUUAACAGGUGUCAAUUUGUUUGCUAAUGAUGCAUGUUACUUGUGCAGCAAGUCAUUUAUUCUUCUCGGGUUGUCUUUGACUGUUCCACUCAUGGUAGCAUGCCUUUCUGUUGCAAUUCCUAUUUGGAUACGUAAUGGCUACCAGUUUUGGGUGACAAGAGAUAAUUAUGGAAAUCAAGUCAGAGGUUAUCGUUCUUUCUGGAUGAAAAAGGUGGCUUUUCUUUCGAUCGUUUCACAUUAACACCGGUUCAUGAAUUUACAGGCCAUUUAUGGGAGAAGAUUGAAACGGUAAUACGCUACACCUAGCAUUCAGUGUAUUUCCUUUCAUUUCAAAAUUACUCUUUCAGGUAGAUUAGUUUAUUUUUAUUAUUUAUUUUUUACAUUCUGAAAUUGCUUGUUUGGUAGUCAAAUGCAUGCUGAUGAAGUGUUGGUGAUUAUUUGUUGCUUUGUUUUAACUGGCUGAUGUUCGUUUGUGGAUGCUGUGGAAGCCUGCGUCUUUCUUGGUCAAAAGACCUAAUAUGGUGUGACUUAGUCUAUGAUGUGACAAAGUUCUUGGAGGAUCAUCCUGGUGGCGAUGGCGUUUUGGUCCCAAAAGACGAGGCGUGUGCAUCACGUAUGUGAGGCACACAUCUAUGUAGAACCAAAUAAGCUUUAUUUACAAGCAUAAGCUAUUUAUCAAGAAGGGAUGCAAUCAAUGAUUUUGAAGAUGUGGGCCAUAGCACAACUGCUAAAUCUAUGAUGAAUGAAUUUUAUGCUGGGGAUAUCGACGCAUCAAAAAUUC